Molecule: long non-coding RNA, 825 nt
Organism: Notolabrus celidotus (New Zealand spotty)
Lineage: Eukaryota; Metazoa; Chordata; Actinopteri; Labriformes; Labridae
Exons: 4
Source: RefSeq, a predicted model, not a curated record
GUUAAAACAUUGUUAGAGUACCUUCUUAAUUAAAGGUGACACCCCUGCACUGAGAGAGAUGCUUACAGGCAGUGUGAGGAACGCCCCCAGUUUAAACCUCAGGUGCUAUGGGUCUAAGCGAGCAGCAGUUCCAUUCCCUGUUGGUGGCAUUUGACAAAGUCCUUUCUGUUGCUGCCUUGUCACAGGGGGUGUUCAGUUUGGAUUCUUCACCUUUUUAAUUCCCCUGCCACCAUGUUUGAGGGCCAGUUUGGAGCCAGUGCCCGAUUGAGAAACGGUUCUUCGUGUUUCGACUGCCAGUGAACCAGCUCCCAGCCCGGAAAACUGGUUCCAGAGCGGCUCCAACUCUUUGCUGGACCAGAACCGUGAACCGCUUACAUCAGGGGUGAGGGGAUGGGUUAUCGUGGCCAAAAACAAACCAAACAAUGCAGUGCUAGGCGACAGACUGUCAUGCCUGCGUCUCCACUUUGUCGGGCAGUUUUACGGUUUCUAAAAUCAACUGGGCUGUAUGCCAGAAUAUAUGUAGAUAUUAAAACCUAGCCUGUGGAUGGCAGCAUUACACUCCCCAGUGUACAGCCUGCCGGAACCUCAUUCGAAGAAGAAGACUGCCAAUGCCGACUCACCGGGGCCUAUAACUCCAUAGUGAUCCUGGAGUCGAUGGUCGAUGAGUCGCUCAACAUCCAGAGCUCUACCGAUAAUGAGUUGUCUGUAAUCAAGGAUGCUGAUGUGGACAUGACACUGCAGCCACCUUUGAGCUGCAGCUCACCCUCACCAUCGGGCGGAUGAGCAAGAGGAGAGACAGAUGCAGCGGAGGGAGAGAAUGAUGUA